RNA transcript from Cydia pomonella (codling moth), 12098 nucleotides. RefSeq lists it as uncharacterized. The record is from RefSeq and is a predicted model, not a curated record. Lineage: Eukaryota; Metazoa; Arthropoda; Insecta; Lepidoptera; Tortricidae. The transcript is spliced from 5 exons.
AUGCAAUAAAAAGAGCGAAAACCUUAUUAUAAAUAUAAUUUCUUCUGUAAUCGUACAUGAAAUGAAAACCAGACUGAAAAUAUUCGUCUCGACUCAUAGAAAAUUCUCGAUUGUCGAUUCAAGUGGUGUUGGAUAUCACUACAUUAGUGACAGUUGUGUCCUUUGAUCAAUAUAUUUUCUUUUCUUGCUUCAGUACAUCUGUUCCAGUGUUGACAAACAAUGCGAAAAUGAUUUAAAAUCACUCAAAAAUCUACAAAAAUGUAUGUGUAAACGAUUCUAAACCACUGUCCAACCCCGCCAAUUUACAAAUCAGCAAAAUGACUUAUGACAUCGAAUGCUACAUAGGCAACUUGCCUACAGAAGUCUUGCUGUUUAUUUUCUCGUUACUAUCUGCGCAAGACCUUACGGCAUGCCGCCGAGUGUGCUCAAGGUGGAAGAUGAUAGUCGACGGGAUGUCCAGAAGCGACCAUCUAUGGCGAAUGCACUGCAGACGGGACUUUAGGAACAUCUAUGAGAUAGCCAGAGUCAAAGCGCGACCUGGGGUUUUGUGGUUCCAUAUUUACCGCUCUUUAUCUCUUUGGUCGAAGCUUUCGCAAGCCAGGGAGCAGCGAGAUGAGUUCGCAGCAGCUUCCGGUAUUAGUGAGGAAAUACAAAAUUUCAAAAUACUUAGAGACGGCAUCAUUGGAGUUCAUAAAAAGGGAGCCAUAGUGUACUAUGAUAUUGACACGUUGGAAAUAUCGAAACGUUCAAGCAUUACCGGUGAUUAUUUAAGAUAUACGGAAAACGAUGAUUAUAUCAUCAUACUCAGCUAUCAUCUGCACUUGUUUAUUAUCCGGAAAGCAAUUCAAAAUCCUAAAUAUGAAACAAAUGUAACAUUUGACAAUGUGAAGUCAUUUAUAUUGGCCAAGAAUAAAGUAUACUAUGUCACAUUAGAAGACCAGAUAUAUGUAUGCCCGUUAGAGGAUGGCAGUCUCAGAGAGCAGUAUAUAACCAACUCAUCAGAUGGUGUCAUGUGUCUAGGUUUUACUGAUAUGCUUCAUGUAUUAACCUUCCAACGUAACAUUUACACUGUAGUUAACGAUAAUAACCUCCAUUUCACCUGUAGUAUUGAUUCCGACUCGAAUCUGCUGCACCAGCUAAGGGAAUACAAUUUUUUAGAAUGCAUGGAUUGGCGAGUCUACAUCCAGUGGAUGUAUGUCCUGAACCACACUAUACCUGAAGGUCCGUUGCGUGACAUAGUAGUUGUCCGGGUAUAUGGUGAUGUUGCAUUUGUCGGUUCCAACUGGGGUGUGCUACGUAUUUACUAUGCACCAUACAACGGUGACAGUGAGUUUGAUUUGUUCAACUCCGAGCCAGUGAAACAGUACAACUUUAUGGAGAGGUAUGACUGCCCAGUGUUAUCGAUGUGUCCAAUCAUACAGAUUGACGUGAUGGAAGGUGAAGCUGGUCAUACAGUGAUUGUGGCGAUGCCGAAGAAGAUAGCAGUGCUGGAGUUUACACACAGUUUCAAACGAACCGCCUCCGUGGCUAUGCUGCCGUACAGUGAUACACAGAAGGUAAAAGUGUUGAAGAUUGACGAUCAUUAAGAAUUGACUACAUUUUAGUUUAAAUUAUGCCUCAGUAGAGUCAGACCAAGAUAAGUCGGCAGCGAAUCAAACUUUUAUGAAAUUAUGAUGUUUACUUAACACAUGCACAGGCUGGGCUAUCAAAAUCGUUGCGAUUUUAGCUUGAUCUGACUCAACCAUAUAUUGAAAACCAACUGGCGAAUAGGCGAGCGAACAGAGCGAGCGAGCGAGCGAGCGAGCACGUACAGGCGAGGCAAAUUCCUCAUGCACAAACCAGCCAGUGUAGACGUGCCUCGGCCGAGCCGGCGCGUGCGUUAUCCUCGCCCGAGCGCGCUGCCGGCCGAGGCACGUCUACACUGGCCUGUUUGUGCGUGAAGAAAUUGCCUCGCGCGUAUGCUCGUUCUGUGUGGACCUGGCUAAUAUCAAAUGUCAAUAUUGUGUUACGCCUAGAAUAGAUUGUGUCAGAGCAAAAAAAAUUACAUUUUAAUUUUUUUAAAAUUUGUCACAGACACUAAAGCACUAUUUGAAACUAUGUUUCAAGUCUGAUUGCUGCAAAAUCCACUACUGUUUGACUGGAUUCAAAGUAAAACAGGGUGUCCGAGCCGGCGCGUGCGUUUUCCUCGCCCGAGCGCGCUGCCGGCCGAGGCACGUCUACACUGGCCGGUUUGUGCGUGAGGAAAUUGCCUCGCGCGUAUGCUCGUUCUGUGUGGACCUGGCUAAUAUCUAAUGUCAAUAUUGUGUUACGCCUAGAAUAGAUUGUGUCAGAGCAAAAAAAAUUACAUUUUAAUUUUCUUUAAAUUUGUCACAGACACUAAAGCACUAUUUGAAACUAUGUUUCAAGUCUGAUUGCUGCAAAAUCCACUACUGUUUGACUGGAUUCAAAGUUAUACAGGGUGUCUCGGAAAUAGUAAAAGAACUGAAAUGUAAAUUCCAAUAAAUUUUGCUUUUACUAUAGUGUAAUAUCACUGAGCAUAUUUGCAAACCAAUGUUCCAAAAAUAUAUUUCUAUUUGUUGUAAAUGAAAUGUUGGCAUGUAAAGAUGUUUGUGAACUCGACCACACCAGUAAAGCUUAGAAGUAUUAAACUUACUACUUAAUCCCAGUUAUAGAUAUGAAACUGUCUUUGCGGCACCAUGUAUAAUGUGUAUCCUACCCUCUUAUUCAUAAAGGUCUACUAAAGUUGACAAGCCGCUAAUAAUCGUUUAUCCCUUUCCAUCAUACUGAUACGUCGGAAAGGGACAAACGAUUAUUAGCGGCUUGUCAACUUUAGGAUAGAAAUAGGGGGAUAGUCUUUUAUUUCAUUAUAGUUACAAAUUUGUUUUGUUGUAGGGUAUUUAUCUAAAUCCAUUGCUGCAGGUCCAUUGUAGAAUCAGAUUGUACUUGUACAAUUACGCUUUAUAAUAACAAGAAAUUUAUUUAACAUAAAUAAGUCCUUAAUCUUGUGACAACAAAAUUUUAUUAAAAACAGAAAAUACAAUGUAGGCUCGUUUUAAAAUAAAAUAAUCCUGUUCUUGGUACCCGCACGGAAUAAAUACUAGUACCUACUACCGUACAGAAAUGACACUUCCUACAAAAUCUGUCAAAAUCCUGUAUUUUUCUAAUGUAUGGCCAAACCUUUUUUUUUUUUUUUUUAUGGAGAAUAGGCAGGCGUUUGACCACGAUCACACCUUAGGCCAUUUAGGGUUGUCAAAAUUCAAAUCAUUAUCUUAUCAGUGGUCGUGCUCGCACAGGGAUGUCAAGUUGUGCCAACGUUAAUAAAUGCUCGGAGCAAUGCUGAUCCGAGCAUGCCCGAAAGGAGGAAUGUCGCCCCCCUGGUACCAGUGUUAUAAUAAAAUUAGUACAAAGGGUCGAAAGAAAUAUACAUGAACUCUUUAUGGCCCUGUACACGUACAAAGUCCAUAAAUAUGUGGGUAUUUAGUGAUUCUUUAUAACACCCCUGCCUUAAUCCCACAUUCCUGGAGUCUAUUUCGGUCCCCACACAUGUUAAGCUUGUGUGUGAGAUUUGUUUGUUAACUCCUUAAUCGGUAAUUUUCAAUGCCGAAUAUACCUUUUGUACAUCUUUGUACAGUCAGCUUAGCUAAUAGUUUUACUGACUGUAUACAGAGUGACAUAUGAGAGGUCAAAAAUGUUUAAUAUACAGUACAUUAAAAAAAAACCUAUGUACUUGUUUUAAAUGUAUCUGUAAUUAAAAAAAAACUCGUACAGCUGCUACUACUUUUUGCAAAAAUGAAAUUUUUUUUUAUCACGUUUUAUGUCACUUAAUGUAAUUUUGUUUUAUAAAGUUUGGAAUGCGGAUACGUCUUAAAUUGUGUUUCUGUACCCCUAGUGUAAAUAAAUUCGAUUUUGAAACGUGACGUACGCGUUUGCGUUUAGUCUCAUUUUGUAUUGGAUUUAGAAAGAGCGCGCCAAGCGGGACGUUUUGGAAACUCAAAAUCCUAUACAAAAUGAGACUUAACGCAAACGCGUUCGUCACGUUAUGAUGUCGAUAAAAUUUACACUAGGGGUACUGUUUGUUUUUUUUUCACUAAUUUAGUAAGUUUGGAUAUUGUAACUUUUUAUACUAAUGUAAUGUAAAUCCUAAGGUCUAAAAGGGUUUUACAUAAAAAACUAGAGCCAGGUAAAGGGCCAAUUACAUCCACACUCAGUAUCGCCCGAUGUCAGGCCCGACGACGGGCCCGAGCAAGAGUAUUUUUCCGUUUCACCAAAUAUCCGCACAUCUUUUACAAUAUUUGACAUGUAAAAAAUACUUUGUCUCUAAUUGCCAAAAAUAUUCAAUAUUUGAUAUUUUUGCACAUAAACCAUUUUUUUAUACUUCAAAUAUUGUUGACGAUGUGCUGAUAUUUCGUAAAACGAAAAACUAUUAUGAGGCCCGAUAUCGGGAAGUCUGGAUGUAAUUGGCUCUUAACGCCUAUGCUGGCGUCAUCUAUAUUAACCUUUAAUAGCUCCUCUACACGAUGGCUCAGCGCUGGACCAGCGAGAUGGCCAUGCGAUGGUUGAAACGAAAUUACACGAUAUAGUUCUGUAAUGGGCCACGUGUAGAUGUGUACGGCCAUCGCUGGCCCACUUUGAUGUGCGGACGAAAAACUGACACCGUGGCCAUCCCAUCGCCAUUCCGCCGCGCCGUAAGCCAUUCGACACCACUACUCUCUACACGCUGGCCCAUCUUAGUGGGGUAGUAUGAUGGCCCAUGGUGUAGGAGCCAUGCCAUGGCAGUUGCCAAUCCCAUUACUGGCUAAAGCGCUUCACACGCAGGCACGCACAAUUACGUAGAAGUGCAGAUAUCUCUACCGUGUCUAACAUAUAGCUGCGUCCCUGUUGUCAGUUACUGAAUUAAAUUAAAACAACGAAUUCAAUCGGUCGACCAAAUGCCGCGAUGUAUUACAAAUCGCAUGUGACUAUGGUGACGUUUGGAAUCGGUUGUACUCAAUAUUAUUGCACAUGCUGUGUGAAACCCUUAACACAUUCACUGCCAGGAACCCACCAAGUGGGCGCUCGUAAACUUUACUCGGAUGCCGGACAACCCGCUGCGGGAGUUCACUGUAUACACAGCUAUAGACGACUAUACCGUCUACGCCAAAGAACCCACCUGGUGAGCGCACAUCUUCACAGGCAUAUCGCAGGGUUGACACCGGCAGAUCUAUUUACUUAUUACCUAUAAUAUUAUUUAUAGACAAUAUAGACAUGGAUCAAUUAUUUUUUAAUAUCUUAUAUUACAAAUUUGAGACUAACCUAUGUAUAUGCACGACCCGAUAAUCCGCGUCAAAUUAUAAUUAAUUUUGGCCGCGGAUUAAAUGGUUUAAUUUAUAUGUAAUUUAUGAUUACUUACAUUAAUAAUUCCUUUGUAAAUGCACCACGUUGUGAAGGGCGUGAGUAGAUCCGUACUAACAAAAUAAAAGUACUAGGAUGUUUGACUAUGACACUUAGCACAGCCCUGGCGCACGCGGGGCGCCCGCCUGGUGGGCGCUCGGCGUACAGUACUGGUUUAAUCAUAAUAUGAGUUUGCCAACCCGCACAGCGGGCGCUUAUAUAUAUUGCCUGGAUCCUGGGGUAGCGUGCCGUUUUUCGUCUGGCAGUGAAUGUGUUAAUACCUAAUUGGUGAAGAGGUAUUUUAUACUUAAUGCCAUUGUGAAGAUACUGAAUUUAGUUUGUAAAACUAACUGUAAAACAUGCAUGCUUGAAACAGAACACCAAAAAUAUUGUUUUCAAUAUUAAGUUAAGUAGUAAUGGGCUCUGUAGAUGCUUACGAUUUAUAUAUUCGGUUAAUACCGAGAGAAAAACACGCAAGAAAGCGGCCAAGUGCGAGUUGGACUCGUCCAUGAAGGGUUCCGUACCAAUUAUGACGUAUUAAAAAAAAACUACUUACUAGAUCUCGUUCAAACCAAUAUUCGGUGGAAGUUUGCAUGGUAAUGUAUAUCAUAUAUAUUUCUUACUUUUAUUAUUCUGUUAUUUUAGAAGUUACAGGGGGGGGGGGGGACACAUUUUACCACUUUGGAAGUGUCUCUCGCGCAAACUAUUCAAUUUAGAAAAAAAAUGAUAUUAGAAACCUCAAUAUCAUUUUUGAAGACCUAUCCAUAGAUACCCCACGUAUGGGUUUGAUGAAAAAAAAUUGAGUUUCAGUUCUAAGUAUGGGGAACCCUUAAAUUUUUUUUUUUCUAUUUUUGUGUGAAAUCUUAAUGCGGUGCAUAUAAUACAUCUACUUACCAAGUUUGAACAGUAUAGUUCUUAUAGUUUCGGAAAAAAGUGGCUGUGACAUAAACCGACAGACAGACGGAGAUGAAUCUAUAAGGGUUCCGUUUUUUGCUGUUUGGCUACGGAACCCUAAAAAUGGCAGAUUAUUCUAAAAAGAGGCUCUUUAUCAUCUUCGCGUCCCGGCAUUUUGCCACGGCUCAUGGGAGCCUCGGGUCCGCUUGGCAACUAAUCACAAAAAUUGGCGUAGGUACUAGUUUUUACGAAAGCGACUGCCAUCUGACCUUCCACAGAGGGUAAACUAGGCCUUAUUGGAUUAGCCCGGUUUCCCAACGAUGUUCACCGAAAAGCUACUGGUAAAUAAAAAUUGGACACAAAUUGUCACGUCUAUAGAGCCCAUAAGUAAUAUUAUGUAUACUCUGGUAAGCCCUCUUUGGCAGUAGAAAAAGGUGCGAAAUUCAAAUUUAACACAUCGCGCCUGCAUUUUUUAACGCAUUCACUGACAGAGCGAGCAACGCGCGUAGCCGAUAACAUGGGAAUACCGUAUGUAGCGAAAAGCGCCUACGAACAGAGAACCCGCCUAGUGGGUCGCUGGCAGUGUAUGUGUUAAAUUUGCAGUCUUUUUCUACUGACUGACAUAGCCUGGCAAACUAUAUCCUAAGGCCCAAGGUUCUACCUAACUAUAUAAUCAGCUUGAUGAAAUUUAAACCAUAUUUAAUCGGAAUAGAGUUGCAAUUGUAUUGUUUCGUUCAAUUUUCAAACAAAACUAAAUCAACUCUAUUCCUUGCAUUAUAGGUUCAAAUUUCAGUAGCAAAUUUUAGAUUUUUCAUUUUUAUGGCUGGACCUUAGGAGGAUAUAAUACUAUGAAUUGUUUCAACUAUUAAUCGAUAAUUUUAUAAAAAGACAUCUUUUUGUUUUACUGUUAGACAGAUUAAUGUUUUAUGUAUUUCGUUGUGUGAGAUACGAUCAUUUAACAUGAGGUUAGGUGGGGUAACAGGAACUAUGGGGCAAGGGGGCACUUGUAAGCAAAAUAAACAGUCAGAGAUACUUAAAAAUAUUUAAAAAGAGAUAAUAUCAAAAAUAACCCUAAUGCAUAAAACACAUUGACUUAAAAAUACCUACGUAGAGUCAAACCAAAAUAAGUUGGCAGCAAUUUUGUUAGCCCAGAUGGUGCACGAGUUAUUUUAAACGUCAAACUUCUAUGUAAUUAUGACGUUUACUUGACACUUGCACCGUCUGGGCAUAGAGAAAUAAGAAGUAAUAGAGUGCUAGAGUCCAUACAUCAGUUUUGGUACCAAAAUGCUUAUUAUUUUCGCAGUCGACAUCUAGCAUCGAGUAGCGGAACUCUCAGUACUGCUACUCGACAAUACGAUUCAACUCCUACGAUUACUCUGGUUAUAAUAUUAGCGGAAAAUCGUUGAGCAUUACUUUUUGGGUGCCGCGAUAUCUAUUGUCGAGUAGCAGUACUGAGAGUUCCGCUACUCGAUGCUAGAUGUCGACUGCGGAAAUAAUAAGCAUUUUGGUACCAAAACUGAUGUAUGGAGUGAGCACUCUAUUGCUUCUUAUUUCUCUAUGGUCUGGGCUAUCAAAACGCUGCCAACUUAUCUUGGUCUGACUCUAGAAGGACUUUCUUUAUACGGUUUCCCUUACUCCGAGGAAAUGAAGUAUGUUUAUCUUACCCACGUGACCGUAGAUAUUUCAUUUUUAUUUAUUUGAGUUGUGAAACUAUAAUGUACCCGCGUUAAAGAAAUCUGGUUCUUAAGCUUGCCUCUUUCAAAAUUUUAUACUUUUAGGGCCGGUACAGACGGACUGCAACUUGUAUGGGAACUGCACGUUGACGUUGCAGUUGGAGUGCAGUCGGCAUGCAGUUCCCAUACAAGUUGCAGUCGAGUUGCAGUCCGUCUGUACUGGCCCUUAUAAGCGUGGGUUAAUUUUUUGCGUCCAUGUUCGCUAUAGUCUAGUAUAUACCAUAGAUAAAACAGGAAAGGGGACGAGCGCUUCUCCAUACCCACGUAGUCUCAAUUUUCCUCUCUGGGUAUUUAUUUAUUUAAACUUUAUUGCACAAUACAUGAAGAGUACAAAUGGCGGAUUUAAUGCCAGAAGGCAUUCUCUACCAGUCAACCAUGAGCCGAAAGAUCCUAAUUAUUGACGUUAUGGAAAAUAUUUUGAAAUAAUUUGAAGUAUUUACCAUAGCUGGCAUAGCUACGUAUGUUUUAUUUUUCGAUUUUUUGAUUAUUUUAUAAAAAUAGGAGCGAGAAACAAAUACGAUAAAGAUCAUACAGGGGCAUAGCUGUGGUUGAUACGAGUAUACAACAAAUUGUGUCAAAAUAUUUUCAAUAAUGUUAAUAUCCAGGCAGGAAAAUGAGGAUUACGUUUGGUGGGGCAGCUGCCCCCCCCCCCCCCCUCUGCCUGUACCUGCCUACGUCCAUGCGAUUUGGUUCGGGUUCUCCACUUUAGUCUUAAACAUAAGAAAAAAAAACGAUGGGCCUUUGGCGCAGGUACCUUAUUAAUGAGGAUUUAUUAAAACUUACACUUUUGUACGUUAUAGCACUUUAUAUUAUAGCUUAAACUAUUAAACCGAAGAGAAUUAAGAAGACCAAGAGUGCUCACUCCAUACAACGGUUUUGUUACCAAAAAUACUAUUAUUUUCGUAGUUUACAUCUAGCGUUAAGUAGCGGAACUCUCAGUACUGCUAUCGAUGUCGCGGCAAACAAAACGUCAAAUGCUCAACGAUUUUCAGCAAUUAUUAUAAGCAGAGUAAGCGUAGGAGUUGAAAAUAGACUUCGGUAGGAAAAUAAUAGUAUUUUGGUAACAAAACAGUUGUAUGGAGUGAGCACUCUUGGUCUUCUUAAUUAUCUUUGAUGAAACCAAUUUAGCUCCGGCUUGCUUACAGAAGGUAGCCUUAAAUAUGUUUGUGAUCAGCAAUUCAUAUAUUAUAUUCAAAUACUUUAAGUAUUUAUUUAGACGCCUAGUUUUGUGAUAAUCUAGUGUAAUUAUUUUGGUUGAAAAAUAAACGGGUUAGUAAAAAAAAUGGUUUUAUUUUCAUAAGGUCAAUCGAGCAGGUAUAAGUGCAAAUAUGGGAUUGGGAUUAUUGUGUCUUCGUUAUUUCUCGAAUAGAAUUGGUCGUAAUGUAAUGUUACGUUAUAUUCACGUUAUUUAAAAAAAUAACUCAAAUAGACUCAACAACACCAUAGUUGCAAUUACCCCGGUCAUUUUGAGUCGACCGUACCACAAAGUAAAUAGCGGCGGCGCGCGCCGGAGCAGAGAGUUCGCUCAGUACAAAGUGCCAUUUACGCCGCACGCAGACGUGACAUUUACGCACACAGACGUUACAUUUACAGGCGUUCUCGGGCACUCUCGGGCAGAUCUUAGUCGGGCUGUGCGCGCGUUGCUCACUUGACGUCACCGCCGCUACGUAGGUACCUACUGUCAUGUACGUCAAAAUGCAGUCUCUAAGGAAUGUAAACAUGAUAAGAUGUAUGUAUAAACGAAUCUAUGUAUGUAUGUCUGUAAACUUAUAUUACCUACUCCUUUUUAUCCUCCUACUCAUAUAUAUCAUUGUCUAAGUACCCUCAACACAAACCUUAUUGAGCUUACUGUGGGACUUAGUCAAUUUGUGAAAUAAUGUCCCAUAAUAUUUAUUAUUUAUUUAUUUUUAAAAUUCGAAAUUAAUACAGUGAGUCGGGCAAGUUUAGGUAUAUAUUUUCAAGAACGGCGGGAACGGACCUUCUGUUUAUUUUUUAUUUUGUGACCGUACUCAAUAUCAAAUUGACAAUAGGAUCACUACUUAUCUUAUAUCUUAUACCUUUAAACGAGCAAUUCUUGUAUAUAUUUCUGUGAUCUCGAAAACGGCUCUAACGAUUUCGCUGAAAUUUGGUAUAUGGGGGUUUUUGGGGGUAUACAAUCGAUCUAGAUUAGUCUUAUGUUUGGGAAAACGCGUGUUUUCGAGUUUUCAUGUGUUUUUCUUUCGACGCAGAAUAUGGUCGCUAAUUUUGUGUUGCCGGCCACUGUCCGUCUGGUCCAGCGGGUUAAGAGUAAGACGCGGACGGCUAGAAACGAGUGUUACGGAUUCGAAUCUCGCCCGGUGACUAACUUUUGUUUUUUUUUUUAUAUAUGUUCAAGUUUACAUAUUUAUUUUUAUUGUUUUAGACAAGUUUAAUUUAGUAAAAAAAUGUAGUUAAGAUUAUCACCUAUACACCACCAUAUUACAAUAAAUAGUUAUAACCGAGCAACGCUCGGUCGCCCAGGUACUCAUUCUUAAUUUCAAAUCAGAAUGUGCAAAAAACUGUACCGUUAGGACGCUGCUUAGGCCUUUGAUUGAAAUUUGAAAAAUCAGUCUCCCAUACAAUUUUAUUAAUUGCGCGUCUUUUCUACCGAGAAAAUUGGCUUGUAAAUAGGUAUUACAAUAAUAGAGGUGACAUCUGAGGGCCUACCGCGAAAACCGAAAAUCGCAAAUUGCUGGGAUCUUUCUCUUUUACUCUCACUAAGACGUAAUUAGAGCGAGAGAGAAAAAUGCUCGCAAUUGACGAAUUUCGGUUUUCGCGGUAGGCCCUCUGAGACGUGACUCUUUGAAUGUAUGAUGAUAUUGAUGAUAUAUUCGUAUUUGUGACAUUUUAGAACAAGGGUCCCACUUAUCUAUUAUAUAGGUAAUUGUAAAGGGUCCAUCAGAAAUAAUAAAUAAAUAAAUAAUAACGGAGUUAACAGCAACAGUGCCUUAAAUAUUGAAAACAAGAAUUUUGGUAAAUUUUGCUUGGAACUACACAUCGCUAAACUUAAUUAAAAAGUCAAUUAGUUAAAACUCAAAUAAAACGGGCAAUUAUGCUAUUACUAUACAAUUAAGAUGCAUUUCUAAUUAAAAUUCUUAAGAAAAUGGUUGGACUCUCUAUUUCCCCCGUAUACCUUAUGUUUAUAUUUUAUGUCGCUUGGGCAGUAGGACAUCUAACGUCGUCGGAAACGAAACCUACAGAGUCAGAUCUAUGUGUUGGAAUAAAAGAUUCCCAUGGGAAGGUGUUUAAUUGUGCGACAAUUGGUCCAACGUCCGAAGAGAAAAAUCAUAUUGGCGGUAGAAUCCAAAGCAAGCAAGAGCAGAAUAUUUAUUAUUUUCUAAUGAAACCUACCAGAACGCAAAGAAUUUGGAAUGACCAAGGUAAUAAAUUUAAGAGAUACAGACGUUCAAUGAAGGGGGACGAAAAUUUGAGCCUGGAUAUGGGUCUAUGGGGUAAGGAUACUACUCUUUUAAUUAAAAAAGGUUUCCGACUCGCACUUGGCCGCUUUUUAUAUUAGUUUACAAAUUAAAUGUCUACUUUAACAGCACUCAGUUCAGGCAAUGAGACAAAUAACAUAGAACCAAUUAGAAACCGUUGGAGAAGCUGGAGAAAUAUUGAGCAGCAGCAUCGUGAAAGCAGUGGAGAAGACGAGGAAUGGGGUCGUCUGGAGAGUAAAACUCAAAGAAAGCAAAAGAAGACUACUUAUGAUUUAAGAAUGAAACCUACUAGAACUAAAAUAAUUUGGAAUGCAGAAGGAACAGGGAACAGGAAAAGACGUUCAAUGAAGGAAGAAGAAGAAAAUUUGAGACGGGAUAUGGGGCUCGACGACCCUGUUCUGGCGUCGCGCCGUACCAAGCGGGCCUGCCGCGCCCUGUGAAUCCCUUAGCGGAGCCCCGGAUCUCCGAUAUGGUGCUGGACCUCAUCUACAUUCUCAACAAGAAAUUUUGUUCGAUAGUUAUAUGUGGAUUUGUUUUCCUUGUUGUGUGACAAAAACUCUGUAUAUUUUAAAUAUAUAUAUAUUUUUAGUCAUUCAUUAAAAACAGUUAGCUUACAUUUAUUAUAAAUACAAUAUUGUUAUUAUUA